UACGGGGGGCGCAAGCGUUGUUCGGAAUCAUUGGGCUUAAAGCGCGCGUAGGCGGCCUUGUAAGUGUCUUGUGAAAUCCCACGGCUCACCCGUGGAACUGCAGUGCAAACUGCAAGACUUGAGGUCGGUAGAGGCGCAUGGAACUCUAGGUGUAGCGGUGAAAUGCGUAGAUAUCUAGGGGAACACCGGAGGCGAAAGCGGGGCGCUGGGCCGAUUCUGACGCUGAUGCGCGAAAGCGUGGGGAGCAAACAGG
This 253-nucleotide ribosomal RNA is filed under the name uncultured bacterium. RNAcentral's name for it is "partial 16S ribosomal RNA". It matches the Rfam family "Bacterial small subunit ribosomal RNA", at positions 524 to 776 of the family's 1533-position model. The record is from RNAcentral.